This 492-nucleotide ribosomal RNA is filed under the name uncultured bacterium. Its description in RNAcentral is "partial 16S ribosomal RNA". It matches the Rfam family "Bacterial small subunit ribosomal RNA", at positions 29 to 507 of the family's 1533-position model. The record is from RNAcentral.
AGUGAACGCUGGCGGUAGGCCUAACACAUGCAAGUCGAACGGCAGCACAGUAAGAGCUUGCUCUUACGGGUGGCGAGUGGCGGACGGGUGAGGAAUACAUCGGAAUCUACUUUUUCGUGGGGGAUAACGUAGGGAAACUUACGCUAAUACCGCAUAUGGCCUACGGGUGAAAGCAGGGGAUCUUCGCACCUUGCGCGAUUGAAUGAGACGAUGUCGGAUUAGCUAGUUGGCGGGGUAAAGGCCCACCAAGGCAACGAUCCGUAGCUGGUCUGAGAGGAUGAUCGGCCACACUGGAACUGAGACACGGUCCAGACUCCUACGGGAGGCAGCAGUGGGGAAUAUUGGACAAUGGGCGCAAGCCUGAUCCAGCCAUACCGCGUGGGUGAAGAAGGUCUUCGGGUUGUAAAGCCCUUUUGUUGGGAAAGAAAAGCAGCAGGUGAAUACCCCGCUGUUCUGACGGUACCCAAAGAAUAAGCACCGGCUAACUUCGUG